Molecule: long non-coding RNA, 2542 nt
Filed under: Anolis carolinensis (green anole)
Lineage: Eukaryota; Metazoa; Chordata; Lepidosauria; Squamata; Anolidae
Description: lncRNA (ENSACAG00000035090.1)
Source: RNAcentral
AUGGUUGGCAUAAUUCCUAUUAAAGCUCUUGUUAUGGAUGAAAGCAGGACCAGCAUUUGUGUAACCGGAUUGCUUGCCUACCUGAGAGUCAACCAAAGAUGCAGGCCAUCAAAAACAGUGAGUACCGUCUUCUUAUUGGUCAGGUUUCCUGUCUUACCAGAUCAAAGAAGUGCUUAGCCAAGUCCAUUGACUCUAAAAUUAUCCCUGCUUCAGAAUUUGAAUACUGUACAUCCCUUCAGUAGCUCCUUAAAUCAUAUAAUGUGUAGAAUAGAAAAUAUGUGUGCAAAGAGCUUUGUCUGAUAUGAGUCUUAUCCCUUGAGAGGCAUGUAAUUUCUCAGGGGCCGGGGCAAAAAACAUCCUAUAGAUAGGAGAAGGGUGAAACUUUCUGUAUGUAAGGCUUCUAUGUAAAAUUGGAUCAGGCACCUCUGUUCACUCUUUUGAAAACAGCAGUGUGCAAGCCUGCUGCAGGUUGGGCCUACCACAACUAUCAAUGUUUGCUGCUACAUUUCAUGCAACUCAUCUUCCAAGGAGCAUGUAGUGUUCUAUGUUUAUGUACAUACUGUAUAUCAUUGAGUGUCUAUUAUAGGAAAUAAGGUGGAGUGUUAUAUGUAUAGCAGAGCUAUCAAGUUAAGUUUUUUUAUGUUAGGAGCGACUUAAGAAACUGCAAGUUGCUUCUGAUGUGAGAGAAUCGACUGUCUCCAAGGAUGUUGCCCAGGGGACGCCCAGAUGUUUGAUGUUUUACCAUCCUGUGGGAGGCUUCUCUCAUGUCCCCGCAUGGGGAGCUCCCUGGAUCCGAACUGCCAACCUUUCAGUCAGCAGUUCUGCCAGCACAAGGUUUUAACCCAUUGCAGCACUGGGGGCUCCAUAUCAAGUUAAGUGAUCUGUUGGGAGUGAGCAAGAAUAUUGGUGGUGGUUGGUGAUUGGCUCGGCUGUAUGAGCCUAAUUUGAAAAAGUGAGUUUGGGUCCAUUGGAGUAAGCACUGAGUUUAGACAGUGGUAGGGAGGGAGAGUGGGUUGCACUCAGAUUUUUACUCAGAUUAGUCAGGAAAGAAAGUGAUGUGAUGUGUGGUGGAUUCAGUGCAAUUCAGUAAAUUAAAUAAAUAACUGUAAUAGCUAAGCUGUUGAACAUCAAGCUUCACAACAUAAAGUAAGCUUGACCUCUGUUUGUCUUCUUUUUAAUAAAUACUUUUCAAUGCACACACACAUGCCUCUUGGGGUGCUACAAUAUUGGGUUGUUGUGAAUUUUCCGGGCUGUAUGGCCAUGUUCCAGAAGCAUUCUCUCCUUAUGUUUCGCCCACAUCUCUGGCAGGCAUCCUGAGAGGUUGCCUGCCAUAGGUGUGGCCAAAAUGUCAGAAGAGAAUGCUUCUGGAAUAUGGCCAUACAGCUUGGAAAACUCACAACAAGCCCGUGGUUCCGGCUAUGAAAGCCUUUGACAACACAUUGCUACAAUAUUGUUUUUAGGCUUGUGAAAAAAAAAUCUGAUACCAGGUAUCUGUGGUGGCAGUAGUCUUUUACUUUUGGUGGUUAACUUUCAUAACUAGUAGUGGGUUUUGGAUAAAGCAACGCACAAGAAAUUUAAUACUUUUCUGAAGAGGUUCCAGAUUCUGUCCAGCCAGAUGGGACUAAGUAGCAGGCCAUCCCUGAAGAUCUUGAAGGAACAUCCUCUGUUGUAUUGCUGAAGUCAAUUGUUAGAGAAAGAUGCAGGAAAUUAAAGGAUGAAAUCCAGGGGUAUAACUAUGAGAGAGAGGACAAAAGGAGGGAUCUCCUCAAAACAUCUAUCAGAGAGAAAUCCCCAUUGGAGAAAAAUACAAAAUGGGUGGAUUUGCACAUGUCUCCAGUGCAUCAGAUUAGGUUACAUUUUAAUCAAGCCAAACUGAGAGCCCAAGUUUAGAUUCAUUUCAAUCCAAUGUGUGAACAAGAAUCCCUUUCAGGAGGCUGAUCUAUUGCCAAGAUCAUACCUUUAUACAUCAUGCUGGAAUCACAUUGACUCAACAUGGGAACACCUAGGAUUGGUUUCAAAUUGUGGGAUUUCUUCAAAUAUACAGCACAGGACUGGGACGGUGCUUAGUGUCCAUCUGUUAUUUUUAUUCUCCCCUCAUUAUUUCAUGUAAUUGUUUUUCUGCAAGGCCAAAACAAAAUGUUCUUGGUAGGUUACUAAUCCUAAUGUACAUCUUAGGUGCUUAGACAUAACAAAUGAAGUAGCACUAUGUAUGCAUUUCUAAACACACUGUUUGUAUGAAAAAUGGACCUCUUUGUUUCACUUACUGGAGAUUUUCCACCUGAUUUAUUCACACUCCCAUUCCAGUUAAGUACGCUGGUUACAGUAAAAACACCUCUUGUUUUGGUGCACGCAAACAUAUUUGAAGUAUACACACAUACAGAUGGUUUGCUUACACUGCUCCUUUGUCGAAACCUGUAGCACUAGCCUAGGGCUACUUGUUAUGUCGGCUAUUGUGGCUGUGUUGUAAUAACACAGCAGUCACAUGACAAAAGACCUGGCUGUGCUUAAUGAUGUUCCAGCGAAGCCUAGCAUAAGCAGAAAC